UAGAAUUUUUAUUUCUUUAAUAGAAGUUAGACUGUAUUGUUAGCUUUUUAACAAGCUAAAGCAUGCAAAAAAUGGAGCUGUGAGGAAGAAGAACCAAGCAAACUUGUGAGAAAGGGAUUGCUAGCAUUUUCAUGUAGCAAAAUUCAAGACUGGUUAGGGAUUUCUAUGCCAUUUCUUGAAUUUUCUUUUUCUUAUUCUGAAAUUUUGAAAAUAAUUAGAUUGUAUUAUUAUCUUUCCAACAAACUAUAGUAUGUAAGAAAUAGAGCUAUAAAGAAGGAGAACCAUAUGAAUUUGUAAAAGAGGAGGGAUUGCUAGAGUUUUUAAGUGAUGAGAUUCAAUACCAAUUAGGGAUUUAUAAUCCAUUUCUCAUAUUUUCU
Molecule: long non-coding RNA, 377 nt
Filed under: Physcomitrium patens
Lineage: Eukaryota; Viridiplantae; Streptophyta; Bryopsida; Funariales; Funariaceae
Description: long non-coding RNA (PPAT_LNC013650)
Source: RNAcentral